CAGUUCCCAGUCGUGCGCUCGUGGCCCAGACCAGACCCGGGCUGGUGUGUGGAGCCAGCCACGCGGGCCCGUCUGUCCUGCGUGCCCUGAGUGGGCGCAGAUGAGAGAGGGCGCGGUUGCUCCGUCCGCUUUUCUCCCCUCUCGCCCCCACGCGGGGAGCCGUCCAGCGAGGCCUGGCUGGACUGAGCCCGUGCCGGACACGGUGCUCCGUUGCCGUCCUGGAGGGCCCAGAGGAUUGCUCGAGGUGUGCCCACCAGGCCCCUCCCCUGAGACAGGGGGCUGGGUGCCGUCAGGUUCUUUCUUGGCUGCCCCUGGAACCCGGAGGUGGCCCUUGCCUGGUUCCUGGAUCCUUUCACUUCCCCUUCCUCGUCGCCUUGCCGUGUGGAAGGCAAGGGCCGCUCUUAGCCCGCCAGCCCUGGCCAAGGAGGGGAACCCACUCGGAGGGUGGGGUGGCACCAAGGCCUUGCGCGGCCCAACGCACAAGGGGGGACGGCGCGCCCUGCUGCGGGCCCUCGCCCUGGCCCCGGUGCCACCACUUUCCCUUGGCCGGGAUUCUUUGUGGCCUAGGCAGGCAGGCGCCCGUGCUGUCUCCGCACUGACCUAGGCACCCACCCACAUGAGGCGUCGGGAGGUGUGGGGCCGGGAGAACAUUGCUCUGCCUGGUUUCCUAGGCGGAGGCAGGUGUGUUGUCGGCAGAGACCCUCACUCAGGCCAAGUGCGUGAUGUCUCUUCUUCUUCCGCAGACGCCGAGCCCGGCACCCGGGUACCUGUUCCGGACGUGCCGCUCCCAACCAUGACUCCCAGCACCGAGGAGGCUGACCACGACCACGACCACGACCCCGACCCCGACCACGACGCCGAGCCCGGCACCCGGGAACCUGUUCCGGACGUGCCGCUCCCAACCAUGACUCCCAGCACCGAGGAGGCUGACCACGACCACGACCACGACCACGACCACGACCACGACCACGACGCCGAGCCCGGCACCCGGGAACCUGUUCCGGACGUGCCGCUCCCAACCAUGACUCCCAGCACCGAGGAGGCUGACCACGACCACGACCACGACCACGACCACGACCACGACGCCGAGCCCGGCACCCGGGAACCUGUUCCGGACGUGCCGCUCCCAACCAUGACUCCCAGCACCGAGGCUGACCACGACCACGACCACGACCACGACCACGACCACGGUAGGGGCCCGUGUGCCUUGUGUCCUCUGCCCCUGGGAGCCCGCUGGGUUGCCGGGGCUCCUUGAGCGAGAACGGGCUUUCCUAUUGCCUCCGGGACCGGGAAGGUGUCGCCAUGCGAUUCCUUGUCCCGAAACGCUGGCCUGUGCUCUGGAGCUGCGGGGACGUCCUCGGGGCUCUGCCCGGGAAGGAUGUGCUCCCUGGGGAGAGAGGGGCCGCGGUGCGAGUCCGGCGCUCCGAGACGGGGCCGUGUGUCCUCCCGGGUUCUCUGGUUGGCUGCACGCUGCCUGGGCCUGUCCGCAGGUUGUCCGUUGCUCUGCGUGGUGGUCUCCUAACCCGUGCGGGAGGGGCGUAGGCUUCCCCGCCCCCCACGUCUGCUCCCGCCAUGACCCCGGGGGUCUGGUGCAGCACUCCCGGCCCGCAUGCCUGGCGUUGCCACGGAGGCUGCGAGUGCAGAAGCCUCAUGGGACCCGGCGUGGAGUGCCCCACUGCCCCUGGUGGCCCAGUGUGCGCAGCGGACUUAGGCGCGGGCACGCUGGGCUCCGCGAGGGUGGUGCUCUGUGCCUCUGCCUCUCCUGAGACGUCCUUGCCUUCCUCUUGGCGUUGGCUGGUCUCCGAGCUCCCGGGACAGCGUCCAGGAGGCGUGGCCGCUGCCUGAGGACAAGUCCUCGAUGUGCCCUCUGACGCUGGCACGAGCGUGUUCUGGACCCGGGCCGUGCCCCCAGGCAGCUGGGGAGUUGUCUGCCUUGUAGUGCGGCGGGCCACCAGGAGAAUCUGACCCAGUGUCCUGGAUGGGCCAGUUCCCAGUCGUGCGCUCGUGGCCCAGACCAGACCCGGGCUGGUGUGUGGAGCCAGCCACGCGGGCCCGUCUGUCCUGCGUGCCCUGAGUGGGCGCAGAUGAGAGAGGGCGCGGUUGCUCCGUCCGCUUUUCUCCCCUCUCGCCCCCACGCGGGGAGCCGUCCAGCGGGGCCUGGCUGGACUGAGCCCGUGCCGGACACGGUGCUCCGUUGCCGUCCUGGAGGGCCCAGAGGAUUGCUCGAGGUGUGCCCACCAGGCCCCUCCCCUGAG
RNAcentral lists this long non-coding RNA (2255 nucleotides) under Oryctolagus cuniculus (rabbit). RNAcentral's name for it is "lncRNA (ENSOCUG00000031365.1)". Lineage: Eukaryota; Metazoa; Chordata; Mammalia; Lagomorpha; Leporidae. The record is from RNAcentral.